RNAcentral lists this ribosomal RNA (305 nucleotides) under uncultured bacterium. RNAcentral's name for it is "bacterial SSU rRNA". It matches the Rfam family "Bacterial small subunit ribosomal RNA", at positions 338 to 658 of the family's 1533-position model. The record is from RNAcentral.
CCUACGGGGCGCAGCAGUGGGGGAUAUUGGACAAUGGGGGGAACCCUGAUCCAGCGACGCCGCGUGAGUGAAGAAGUAUUUCGGUAUGUAAAGCUCUGUCAGCAGGGAAGAAAGAAAUGACGGUACCUGACCAAGAAGCCCCGGCUAACUACGUGCCAGCAGCCGCGGUAAUACGGAGGAUGCGAGCGUUAUCCGGAUUUAUUGGGUUUAAAGGGUGCGCAGGCGGAGGUGCAAGUCAGCGGUCAAAUUGCGGGGCUCAACCCCGUACUGCCGUUGAAACUGCAUCCCUUGAGUGCGCGAGAAGG